ACCUGGUUGGCUCGGUGGAGUAUGCAGCUUUUGAUUUCAGGGUUGUGGGUUUAAGCCCCACACUGGGUA
RNAcentral lists this transfer RNA (69 nucleotides) under Ailuropoda melanoleuca (giant panda). It matches the Rfam family "tRNA". From Rfam's summary of the family: Transfer RNA (tRNA) molecules are approximately 80 nucleotides in length. Lineage: Eukaryota; Metazoa; Chordata; Mammalia; Carnivora; Ursidae. The record is from Rfam by way of RNAcentral.